Onychomys torridus (southern grasshopper mouse) is the source of this 432-nucleotide long non-coding RNA. RefSeq lists it as uncharacterized. The record is from RefSeq and is a predicted model, not a curated record. Lineage: Eukaryota; Metazoa; Chordata; Mammalia; Rodentia; Cricetidae. The transcript is spliced from 3 exons.
UCUCCCUCCUUAGGCCUCGCCCUGUCCUAGACGCUAGGUAUUUUCUAAGAUGCUGCUGGCAUCCUGGACUGUGUGCCUAGACGAGAACGACCCCCAAGGCAUCCAAACAAGAUGUGUCCUUUCACAUCUGACGCCCCAUCAGGCCGGUAUGGAAGCUGAGGCCGCUUUUGAACUAACACCCAUCCAGAGCAAACCCCAGUGCGGGAGAACCGGGCGGCAGUUGUCCAGGAGAGCAAAAGAGCACAUGGUGUUGGGCUUUUGCCAGUGUUAUUAAGCGGCACUGUUACCGUGUGGGAAAAGGUGGACCCUGAAAAACACAGACAUGGGUCCAACGUCUUGGGAAAGAACACUCAGGAGCACGUGGUUGCUCCUGAGAAUGCUGAAAUACUGCAAGUCCGGGCAGACACUUCCACAGAUGUUCCACAAAGUGAA